Molecule: long non-coding RNA, 387 nt
Filed under: Physcomitrium patens
Lineage: Eukaryota; Viridiplantae; Streptophyta; Bryopsida; Funariales; Funariaceae
Description: long non-coding RNA (PPAT_LNC005534)
Source: RNAcentral
UUUGAAAAGUUUCUAUUAAUUAGAACAACCACUUUAUUGCUUUUAUUUGUUGAAUUUGGAGAAAAUCUUCAAAACCAUCAUUAUUAAACUUCACUGGGUAUUUUAGAAAAUUACAAUUUUAAUUCCCUCUAAAUCAAAUGAGAUGAUUAUGGAUGAAUUCAUAGGCUCUUAGUCAACCUUCAUAGUGAUGACAAAUAACCUCUAAAUUAUUAAAACUAACUUAGUUGAUCAUCUAAUUUUAAAAUUCUUAUUACUUUAAUUCUAAUAAGAUUAAUUCAAGAAAUUAGGCUAUGAUUUAUUAUCACGGACAUACUCAUGUAAAUUAGUAAUUACAUAUAUAAAUAGGUGGAUGUAAGUAAAAGUAGGUAAAAGUAAGUUAAUUCUAUA